AAUGAACAGUACAUGUUCAUUUGGCCAUAACUUCUUCUAGACAAGUCUAAAUGAUCUGAAUUUUAACCAGUAGAAAGAUUAGACCUAGGACUACAACUUUCAUUGAGAACACCAAGCCCAGAAAUGCCUCUAACCAAAUGAAAUUGUUGACUCAAUUCGGGACACCAAACUGACCUGCACUAUUCUGCCCAGAAUUUUCUGGACUAAAGCUCACCCGACCAGUUUUGGCAAAAUGGCCAUAACUUAGUCUACAAGAACUCAAAUGUAGUGAAACUAGUGGCAAAAUGUCCAAAAGA
RNAcentral lists this unclassified non-coding RNA (296 nucleotides) under Hevea brasiliensis (rubber tree). Lineage: Eukaryota; Viridiplantae; Streptophyta; Magnoliopsida; Malpighiales; Euphorbiaceae. The record is from RNAcentral.